ACAGAGGAGGUGGAAGUGGCGGAGGUUAGGUAGAAGAAGGCUGAGGAACCCCCACGUAUUUAAUUGAUUCUUCUGCAUCAUCCAUGGUGAAUUUCAACGACGGUGGAGAGAUGGAAUGCGGCAGCAAUGAGGACUACGGUGGUGACGGUGGGUUGAGAAGAAGUGGCGGCUCAACUCUGAGUAAGUCCAUUUUCUGGAGCAAAGUUUUGAGGUGGAAAACAAGCUUGAACCAGAGAGGAAAGUCCAACUGGCUAAGGACUUGGGGCUGCAGCCUAGAAGGUUGCGGUUUGGUUCCAAAACCGGCGUGACAGAUACAAGACAAAACAUAUUGAGAAAAAA
Ipomoea nil (Japanese morning glory) is the source of this 339-nucleotide long non-coding RNA. RefSeq lists it as uncharacterized. Lineage: Eukaryota; Viridiplantae; Streptophyta; Magnoliopsida; Solanales; Convolvulaceae. The transcript has 2 exons. The record is from RefSeq and is a predicted model, not a curated record.